This 253-nucleotide ribosomal RNA is filed under the name uncultured bacterium. RNAcentral's name for it is "partial 16S ribosomal RNA". It matches the Rfam family "Bacterial small subunit ribosomal RNA", at positions 524 to 776 of the family's 1533-position model. The record is from RNAcentral.
UACGUAGGCAGCGAGCGUUGUUCGGAAUUACUGGGCGUAAAGAGCGCGCAGGCGGUCGUUCAAGUCGAGUGUGAAAGCCCCCGGCUCAACUGGGGAGGGUCACUCGAUACUGAUCGACUCGAAGGCAGGAGAGGGAAGCGGAAUUCCCGGUGUAGUGGUGAAAUGCGUAGAUAUCGGGAGGAACACCAGUGGCGAAGGCGGCUUUCUGGCCUGUUCUUGACGCUGAGGCGCGAAAGCUAGGGUAGCAAACGGG